Molecule: long non-coding RNA, 741 nt
Filed under: Equus caballus (horse)
Lineage: Eukaryota; Metazoa; Chordata; Mammalia; Perissodactyla; Equidae
Description: lncRNA (ENSECAG00000053358.1)
Source: RNAcentral
AGCUGGACCUCAGAAGGUGGUCCUUGGGUGGACAACAAGGAGACUGUCCAUAUCUCUCUAGAUCAACGUUCGUCAAAGGCAGCCCUUUACAGUUUACAAAGCACUCGCAAAUCUUUUUGACCCGGAUGACCCACACAGCAACCUUGGAGCCAGGAAGACGGGGGUCUCACUGCUCCCAGAGGAGCGAAGUGACUAUUCUGAGGCCAUUAAGCUGGUGGAGCUCCUUACCCAUGGUGACACAAAUAGGAAGCUGGGGAGGAAGAAUUCAAACCCAGGACUGCCUGUCUUCAGAAUCUGUGUUUUCAUCAUAAGGCCGCCUCUACAGAAGCACCUUCCUGUUUAUACACGAUGGUGGAAAGUUCCAGAAUGUCUUCAGCCCCGUGGUACUGCUGCAAAUGGCAUCUCUCUUCCCGGCCACCCUGGUUCCCGGGCCCCCGUAGCCUCAUCCCCGGAAGCUAGAACAGAGUCCAAACGGAAGGAUGUGCCCGCUGGGUCUCUUUUGAGUGACUUCUGAGUCUUGGCUGUUGGCAGACCGCUGGAAUAUUCCAAUAUGCAUUCUCCUCUCUUUCGAGGUGAACAGAAGCCUGAUGCUUUGGCUGAGCACAGGGCCACCCCCAAAGUGAAGACUGCAUUUCUCAGCAUUCUUUGCAACGAGCAGUGGCUAUUUGACUAGGUUUUGCCCAAAAGGCAUGAGUGUGGCCUGUAGAGGCUCGAGUUGUGCCCUUGGGGGGGAUGGUGUUA